RNAcentral lists this ribosomal RNA (482 nucleotides) under uncultured bacterium. Its description in RNAcentral is "partial 16S ribosomal RNA". It matches the Rfam family "Bacterial small subunit ribosomal RNA", at positions 28 to 523 of the family's 1533-position model. The record is from RNAcentral.
GACGAACGCUGGCGGCGUGCUUAACACAUGCAAGUCGAACGAUGAAGUUCCUUCGGGAAUGGAUUAGUGGCGAACGGGUGAGGAACACGUGAACAAUCUGCCCCUUACACGGGAAUAACUUCGGGAAACCGAAGCUAAUACCCGAUAUUGAAUUCGGUAGGCAUCUACUGAAUUUGAAAUGGUCCGCCGGUAAGGGAUGAGUUCGCGGCCUAUCAGCUUGUUGGUGAGGUAACGGCUCACCAAGGCGACGACGGGUAGCCGGCCUGAGAGGGCGACCGGCCACACUGGGACUGAGACACGGCCCAGACUCCUACGGGAGGCAGCAGUGGGGAAUAUUGCGCAAUGGACGAAAGUCUGACGCAGCAACGCCGCGUGAGGGAUGACGGCCUUCGGGUUGUAAACCUCUUUCAAUCGGGACGAAGCGAAAGUGACGGUACCGAUACAAGAAGCACCGGCUAACUAUGUGCCAGCCGCCGCCGUAA